Molecule: long non-coding RNA, 3830 nt
Organism: Podarcis raffonei (Aeolian wall lizard)
Lineage: Eukaryota; Metazoa; Chordata; Lepidosauria; Squamata; Lacertidae
Exons: 3
Source: RefSeq, a predicted model, not a curated record
CUGGCCCCUUGCUGAAAAAGGUUGCUGACUCCUGAGCUAGAGCUCUUUCCCAGCUGUGAAUACUAUGGAACCUGGCAUGCAGCUGAAUCUGUAAAACCACAAGUAUCCAUUCUUUAAAGAAGACGUUUCUAGUCAUCAUCACUAAAUAGAAAAUUUGGAAAGGAACGGGCAGAAGUGUAUAUUUAAUCUAAUUCAGGCAAGUUCUCUCCAUGUAAUGUGAAGUGUUUGUAUAAUUUGGGAUUUCCCUCCAUUCUGUGCAGUACUGCAGCUCUUCUGGAACCAACUUUGUUUUAAGAUACGAUAGAAAGGAGAUGUUGUAAAGCAGUAGGUAGAGUACAUGCAUUUCAUGCAGAAAUGUUCCAGGUUCAAACUUCCCCCAUGCCCCAGAGUGCACCUCCAGUAAACGGAUUUCAAGCAUCAGAAACAGAAAAGACUAGAUGGACAAGAGUCUGAAUCAAUGUAAGGCCUUGUUAUGCUGUCCAUCUGCACUAUGAUGCGACUGAGACGAGAUUGGAUUGCUAGAAAGAUAAAACUACAAGCCACAGUCAAAACAUGAUGCAUGAAGAAUGGCACAGUGGAAACCAGCCAAAACGGCUCAGACUAAUCAACCAUAAAGCGUAAAAGAAAGAUGGCAAAUUGAAGCAGCUUGUUUGCAUAAGAUCUCUAAUUGCAGAUAUAGGAAAAGGCGAGUAGCAAUAUCCUAUUUCUAUGGCUGCUCACCCAGAUGCCAGUUAUAAUUAACUGCCAUUUUAAAUGUCUUUUGCUCUUUAAACCAUGUAAGAAAAAGAGCACUUUAACUAUCGACAGCAGCCUUUCUCAUGGGGCAUAUGCAAGAGGAUGAAAAUCAUCCAACAUUAGAACAGUCAUGAGUUCUACGCCAUUCGUUACUUAAACCUGGGUUGCUUCUUGCGUGUGGAGAACCUCCAUAUCCCCCCAAACACAGGUAUAUUAUAUUCAUGUUAUCCCAACGAAAAUAUGCAGAGCCUGUUUGCAGCUAUAUGUAUCGAUGCAGAGAUUUUGACUUCACCAGUGGGAAAGCACGUCUCUCCAUUAGGCCUGCUCUUCCCUCAACUGACAUCUGGGGCCAGCCACUCCAUCAGGCUACCUAUCUUCUCAGUGGGAGAGAUAGGAAGCAGAAGGUACAUUUCAUUAGCUUUGCUGGAGCCCCAGCUCCAUCAGGCACUUCCUGCCCCUGAACUGUGCCAGCUGGUCAUUACGGGAAUAACUGUUUAGAAACUGGUGCCUGAGUUUUGAUUUUUAUUAUCCUUUUCCCCUUGUGUGUCAUGUUGUGUUUUUUUAGAUUGUGAGCCUGCGGGUAGGGACUGUCUUGUUUUGAUUGUAUGUAAGCUGCUCUGGGAACCUUUUUGGCUGAAGAACGGGAGCAAAUGCUUUGAAUAAAUAAAUAAAGCACUAUCAGCUUGCCAUGGCCUUCACCACCCUAGGAAAUGAAUGCUUUUUGAAGAUGCUAGACAAUCCCUGAUAGCAGAUCUCAGGCCUGGUAGUACAGCAGAUACCAGGGUUCAAGGAAGUUCAUAAUGUAAGGUCUCUUCCUGUCAUAUUAAAGGUAAAGGUGAAGGACCCCUGACAGUUAAGUCCAGUCACCAACGACUCUGGGGUUGUGGCGCUCAUCUCACUUUACUGGCCGAGGAAGCUGACGUUUGUCUGCAGACAGUUUUUCCGGGUCAUGUGGCCAGCAUGACUAAACCACUUCUGGCGAAACCAGAGCAGCGCACGGAAACGCUGUUUACCUUCCCACCGGAGCAGUACCUAUUUAUCUACUUGCACUUUGACGUGCUUUUGAACUGCUAGGUUGGCAGGAGCUGGGACCGAACAACGGGAGCUCACCCUGUCGUGGGGAUUUGAACCGCCAACCUUCCGAUCGGCAAGCCUAAGGCUCAGUGGUUUACACCACAGCACCACCGGCGUCCCUUUAGCGCCACCUGUCAUAUUAAGUUAUGCCAAUCUUUUUACUCAUGCCAUGAUCUACAGUAAUUUCCAGCAAAGUUCAGAUUGGCACACUCCUAUGUGCAAAGUCUAGGGCGGUCCCCACAGCUCUCGGCAUGUUGACAUCCAUCUGGCUUGGGAAACAGCACCUGCUGUGGCUGUAGAGACUGAUACAGGAGAGACAUGUUUUGUUGCAGCUGGGGCAGAUGAACAGCUGUACUGCUGCAGAUGCACCGUGGAGUUUCUGCUGUCUGUGCUCCUCCCAGCAGUCAUUCCUCUUUUGGUCACUGCUGUGGAUACACAACCUGACUGUCAGUGCUGCCUGUGUUGUAACAGCACCUGCGUGUUGCAUUCUGUACAACUUAAAGCAUAAUAAUGCUCCCCGCAUCCUUGAUAGGUGUUCACAUCUCUCCCCUCCUCCACUCGCCAUGUUGUCCUUCAUACUAGGAAAUGAGUAGUAUGUUUAGUUAGCUCAAGUCAGCACCCCCACAGGCCAGUUUAUGCUGCAUAAGGAAGGCAUAUGUGGGCUGUGCUUUAAGAAGGGAAUGUUUAAAGUUGAAUAGCAGCCUGAGGGCAGAAGAAGCUGCCUGUGAAUUUCCCCCCUGCUCAUUUGCUAACUAAGAUUACAUGUCAUUCCCCACAAGCUCGGGCCAAGAGGGACACUUGUUUCCAUGAGUCACACACAGCAAAUGUGGGUCGUUUGUGAUGAGAAGCCUGAUGAAAGCGAAGCUUUGCACUACAGGCAGCAACAAGGGAGCUCCUUUAACACUUCUGGGAGGACCUGUUAACAUGAGGAAGAUGGCCUCUCCAUCCUGCAACUGCCAGUGUAGGGCUUUCUGAGAACCAUUUUGCCUUGAAGGGAAAGAGAGAAAGAUGGGAAUGACAGCACAGAGAGCUGCCCAUUACCUGCUUGCAAAGGUUCCAGGAAUAGCCAACAUGGUGAACUCCAGAUAGUAAACAUGAGAGCAACACUGGAUCAGGCCAAAAGCAGGAAGGACAGGGCCAUCGCGGCUAGUAUCUGCUGAUAGCUUUAUCCUAUUAAUUUGUCUAAUCCUCCCUUAAAGCCAUCCUAGUCGCUGGCCAUCAUUACCUCCUGUGGGAGAGUGGUCAGUGGUCAGGAGUGAUGGGAGCUGAAGUCAAACAACACCAACAUCUGGAAGGCGCCACCUGGCCACCAUUGCCCUAUGGCAACAAACCACCUGUACGUGACCAUAUAUUUAACUAUACAAAAUACAGUCCUCCCAGGAAAAGGGAAUCUAGCAGGCUAAGCUUAACCUAUUUAGCAGCCUCUUUUCACAACCAGAGUUACAGGGUUGCCAGAAUCCUUGAGACACUAUGCUAUACCUACCUUCUCAGCUGGGAUUUCCAGGUCAAGAGUCUGAUGUGGCUAUUCUGAUGAGCUCUUGAAAUAAUGCAGUUUACUCAUUACCUUUCAAAAGCUUGGGUGUCUGUUUUCUACAAACACUGCUGGCUUGUUGCUUUGGGGUUUAUCUGUCACAUUCAUCACACAAUCCCCAUUCAUAUUUCAUGAUUUAUUACCCUACACAGAAGUGCUUUCUGUGUAUGAAACACAGCAUGUGAGGCCAUCCUCAGUUGAAAGUCUGGUCUUGUUUGAAGAGAGGUUUUCCUAAGCCCCUAAUAACAUCUUUCCUUACUUUUACUCUUAGUAGAUCUGACAGAUAUUACUUAUAAUUUAUAUUUCCUAAUCUAACAUAUGGUGACACUUUGCUUCCCAAUAGCCGAUUGACAUUUUUUAAUGUUUCUCUUGGACUGUUGCCUAAGUACAUUUGCAAAUAGUUUAGUGCUCAGCUUAAAAUGAAUUCACUCCCAGAAUUCCAUUUGCAAUCUAUUAUUUAUGGUUUACAGAUGUUAAGAUCAAAAAGAAA